AGGCGGGUCCUACUCCUGACGUCCUUCAAGCCCAUUGGCUCAAAUUACCAUCGAGCAAAGAAGGGGUAGGAUGUAAUACACUUACGUUGAGCCCGUCAUAGAGGCUCUUGACGUCACGCGUUACCUAGUACCACAAAAAAGACAGGCUAUUCAUGGAGCUUUGAGAAAAGCAGCCUAAUUUCCUGGGAAAAGCAAAGCCGAAUUCUGUACCCUGAUUGGACACACCGCUGGUUUUUCAUAUGAGAGUCACACAUAAACAUACUCGCACGCAUAUACAGAAAGUAUACAGUAUGCCCAUGCAACUUCAGCCCCCUCUCUCCCUCUUUUAGAAACAGGUCUCAGAUGAAGAACUUUUGACAUUGCAGAGUGCUAUUGCUUAACGUGGCGUUCAGAGGCGGGUUUGCACAACAAACAGAUGUUCUUUGAUGUCAGCUGCAGUGAGGGGGAGGCAAAAAAUGGGAACGCUAAAAAGAAGUAGGAGGAAGGUGUCAGAACUCUAAUCACCAUGCAUCACUCAGAAAAAAAAUCUAUUGUAUCUCUUAGCACAAACACUGGUUUGUAUUCACCAUAACCUUGCCCAUUAUAGAAUGUAAAAUUCACUUGAUUUGUUAUAUCACUAAGAAUGUAUUCAAAUUGUUUUAAACUGUGUAUUGCCUUGGCAUUUCUUUUAGGAUUACAAAGCUGACAGUGACCUGUUACACUGACCUUAUCUUCUCUUUAAAUAGGCUUUGAGUCACAGUUACAACGUUGGCUCGCUGAUCCAGAGAAGCUAAAUUACACAGGCUGUCAACCAAACCAAUGUAGAGCUCCGUUCGGGCUCGUAGUAAAUUAUGUAAAAGAGCCUAACAGCAAGAAAACGACCGUGCCAUUUACUGUCACUUCAGAGAAUUUGUAUUAUGACAUUUCACGAACACUUGGCCAAUUACACUGGAUAGAUCUAUUGCAUAAACUAAAUAAUAGUUUCUCCACUCCAGCUAUGUGACUUAGUUAUUCAUUAAACCACCCACAUCACAAGUGCACAAUACAGCUCAGGACAUGUACUCCAUGAACAGCUCAUUUAGGUUAGCAUGUGUGUGUCAGCACUGUGUAUAAGUUAUAGACCCGCAUGCCUACAAAACCAGUAGUAUUUUCCAAAACACAUAACAUAACAUGUCACAAUUUAUUUCCACUGCAGUCAGCCUAGUAGAUGCUACUGACGGUGUAAAGAGUACUGGUGUUUGUUAUGCUAUCAUAUUACAACAAAUCUAUGUAAUAUCUAUAUUUUUUUCCUUUUGAAACAAAUACAUGUUUAUCUGUUGACCGCAUGAUUCAUUUUAAAUUUGAACCACUUAUAAUUUAUUUUAAAAUGAAUCACUAAGAAUUUGUAAUAAUAACUAUAUAUUUUUAAAAUAAAUUUCCACAAUUUUAAUACAGAAACACACCUUAUCGGCCAUCUCUCUGAAUCUUUUGAGAUGCUAUCCUAGACCUUUUACACUACUACAAAUAUAGUAUGAAAAAUCAGAAAUACAGUUUAGCCUAAGAUCAUAAGGGUAUAUAGAUUUUGUUUGGAUAAAAGAUGCACGCUGUGUAAUGUCUCUUUAGUUCAGGCUCAUUUCCAAUACUAACGGAUGUUAACAUUUUCAACUGCAAUAUUGGUUACAGUUUAAUCAGACCUCCAUUCGCUGACCGACAUUUUAGCUUUAACAAGUCAGCUGCCUUUGUGAUGGAAGAACUGUCAUAAGGUGCAAUAAAAACACUCACACACGCAUAACUAUCUGGCAUUGAGGGUGUGACGUGUCAAGACAUGUAGGCAUUACCAUUGUCUAGGUUGAAGUACUGUAUGGUAUCUUAUCUUGACAAUAAGAAAGAGGAAUGUCCCAUCAGUAACUAAAUGGUUCACCAAUAAAUGAAAAAUCAUUUACUCAUGUUACUCCAAUCUAUAUGACUUUUUUCUGUUUAGAAUGUUUCCACUGCUGCUUUCUGUACAGUUAAAGUGAAAGUUGACUGGCUUCAAGUUUUGCCAUGUUUAUCACAUAAUGCCAUUGUAAGACUAGUUCUUAUGGUGUUUCUUAUCCUUUUUGAAGAUAUGCUGCUCAUGGUCACUGUAUAUAUUCACUGCAUUCAUAUUUUUGUAUUCUAUGGAGGAAAGAAGUCAAACAGGACUUGGAACAAUAUCAUAUUUGGGCAUACUCUUUUGAUAUUCAGUAACAUACUGACAGUCCUUCUGAAAUUGAAUGAGUUUGAACUGUUUUACAGUGCUUCCUGAAGAAGAGGAGAUGCAACAGAAACGUGUCCUUGUUGGCACGUCUAUGACUUCAAUCUGGCAUGUGGCUUUGUCUUUACUGCAGUGGCAGUUGCUCGCCCCGAGGCAUUGUCAUUUGAAGUUGAGAAAGAG
Molecule: long non-coding RNA, 2374 nt
Organism: Cyprinus carpio (common carp)
Lineage: Eukaryota; Metazoa; Chordata; Actinopteri; Cypriniformes; Cyprinidae
Exons: 3
Source: RefSeq, a predicted model, not a curated record